CUGCAGCUUAUUAAGCCGACCAGUUCCUCUGCUGUGUGGUUCUGGUGUGCAAAGGCUGCAGACAGCAACUCUCUGGUUGUGUAUGUCCUCAGCUGGGAGGUGCUGAGUGCUUUAAGGGACCACUGAGACAAAC
This 133-nucleotide small nucleolar RNA is filed under the name Gambusia affinis (western mosquitofish). RNAcentral describes it as "Small nucleolar RNA SNORA70 (ENSGAFG00000015711.1)". It matches the Rfam family "Small nucleolar RNA SNORA70". From Rfam's summary of the family: snoRNA U70 seems to be exclusive to mammals and is a member of the H/ACA class of snoRNA which contain H (ANANNA) and ACA box motifs. H/ACA box snoRNAs are involved in the conversion of uridines to pseudouridines (5-ribosyluracil) a constituent of structural RNAs (transfer, ribosomal, small nuclear, and small nucleolar). The record is from Rfam by way of RNAcentral. Lineage: Eukaryota; Metazoa; Chordata; Actinopteri; Cyprinodontiformes; Poeciliidae.